RNAcentral lists this non-coding RNA (29 nucleotides) under Mus musculus (house mouse). Lineage: Eukaryota; Metazoa; Chordata; Mammalia; Rodentia; Muridae. The record is from RNAcentral.
UGACAGGACAGUGUCUACGAGAAGCUUCC